CCUUCGGGUGAGUGGCAGACGGGUGAGUAACGCGUGGGAACCUUCCCUGUGGUACGGAAUAGCUCCGGGAAACUGGAAUUAAUACCGUAUACGCCCUUCGGGGGAAAGAUUUAUCGCCAUAGGAUGGGCCCGCGUCGGAUUAGCUAGUUGGUAAGGUAACGGCUUACCAAGGCAACGAUCCGUAGCUGGUCUUAGAGGAUGAUCAGCCACACUGGGACUGAGACUCGGCCCAGACUCCUACGGGAGGCAGCAGUGGGGAGUAUUGGACAAUGGGCGAAAGCCUGAUCCAGCCAUGCCGCGUGAGUGACGAAGGCCUUAGGGUUGUAAAACUCUUUUGGUAGGGACGAUAAUGACGGUACCUACAGAAUAAGCCCCGGCUAACUUCGUGCCAGCAGCCGCGGUAAUACGAAGGGGGCUAGCGUUGUUCGGAAUCACUGGGCGUAAAGCGCACGUAGGCGGACUGGUCAGUUGGGGGUGAAAUCCCAGGGCUCAACCCUGGAACUGCCUCCAAUACUGCCAGUCUUGAGUCCGAGAGAGGUGAGUGGAAUUCCUAGUGUAGAGGUGAAAUUCGUAGAUAUUAGGAAGAACACCAGUGGCGAAGGCGGCUCACUGGCUCGGUACUGACGCUGAGGUGCGAAAGCGUGGGGGGCAAACAGGAUUAGAUACCCUGGUAGUCCACGCCGUAAACGAUGAGUGCUAGCCGUCGGGUAGCUUGCUAUUCGGUGGCGCAGCUAACGCAUUAAGCACUCCGCCUGGGGAGUACGGCCGCAAGGUUAAAACUCA
Molecule: ribosomal RNA, 783 nt
Filed under: uncultured Alphaproteobacteria bacterium
Lineage: Bacteria; Pseudomonadati; Pseudomonadota; Alphaproteobacteria
Description: bacterial SSU rRNA
Rfam family: Bacterial small subunit ribosomal RNA
Source: RNAcentral